RNAcentral lists this long non-coding RNA (1663 nucleotides) under Struthio camelus australis. RNAcentral's name for it is "lncRNA (ENSSCUG00000018989.1)". Lineage: Eukaryota; Metazoa; Chordata; Aves; Struthioniformes; Struthionidae. The record is from RNAcentral.
CUGGACUUCAGACACAUGCUGCGGACGCACCCAUAGCCUGAUUCGCAGUAGGUGAGCGCAGCUGCUAGAGCCAGAGGCUUUUCUUGAGCAACAGCAGUCAAUUAUAUCAACUUAACGUGUGGUUUUGUAACAAACCCAAUGUGUUAUGCUGUUGGCUGAAGUUUCUUAUGUUUUGUCAUCUCUCAGGAAAUUGCUAAAAAAAGUACUGUUGGUCCGUUACUUUGUUUAAUGUGCUGAGUACACCUUUCUUUCCUUUAGUGCAAGAAGGGUAUUUUUUCUUGCAGGGAAACAAAAGUAAAAACACUAAGAAAGAAAAAACAUUUUUCCCUCAAGAAGAGAAAGUAACAGUUUGUGUCUCUUUAUGGAGUGAACCUGACUGACUGGUCCUGGAGGAAAGCUUGUGGAGUGAGACUUUAAGGGGAGAUUUCCUUGAAAUUUUAUGUAAUGAUGCCUUUUGAGCAACUAUUGCAGUGUGUUCCACCUGAGGAUCUGCUCUCUUGAAUGUCCUCUAAAUUGUUCCAAAUGUCUAGUCCAUAAACCAGCAUGUUAAAAUAAAUUUCCUUAACUCAAAAUUAAUUGAUUUACUUCCAUUUUUUUUGCUAAAAAUUUGAUAACCUGGAAGAGAGAUGGCUGAGGGGAGAUGUGGUAGAUAAACUUCUCACUGGAGUGAAGGUGGUGAAUCAGCAACAGUUGUUUGCUGUUUUUCAGGGCAAGAUUGCAGCAGUCAAAUGACACUAAAAGAUGGAAGAUGCAAAACAUGCAGAAGAAGGUGUUCUUUUACACAGUACCCGGGCCAGCUGUAGAAUGCUUUGCCCGGCAGUCUUUUGGAUAUCAGAAAAUGUACAUGGGUUCAAAAGCAACUGGACAAAUUCUUGGAGGAAAAAUACACUGGUUACUCCAGUAUAAAAAGAUGUAGCCCCAUGCAGUGGCUUUAUAAACUUCUGAGCCAUAAGUGAAUGGAGGCUGAAAGAAUAUGUGGAGAAAAUGUUGGAAUGUACUUGCCUUGUUUCUGUUCUUUCUCCUCUUCCCAAGCAUCUACUUUUGGGUACUCUGGGACAACAUCCUGGGCUGGAUGGGCCCUAUAUGUGGGAUCUAAUGUGCCUCUUCUCUCAUACAGGUAGCUUUUCCAAGACAGUUAUUGAAAGGGAAGUGAAAUGCCACUGCAUUUGUGCAUCUAUGACUUUUGGUCUUAUCUACCUGAGACUGGCAAGGAAAAGUUGGCAGCCCGAAUCUCGUGCAAAAGUAGCACAGUUAUCUGAAGACCUUUUCUGAUUUUGCACAUGCUGGAAGCUUUUAUCUGGCAAUAAUGUUGUACCUGCUACUCAUGUACAUACGGCUUCGUACUCACUUGAAACAUAGAUAAACCUGAGUUCCGUUGGUACCAGCAGGAUGGAGCAGGCGAUCAGACUUUAUUUAACCACUGAGUUGGUUGUCCUUGUGUGGUGGUUCUUGGACAAAACAUCCUAAAGAACUUUGCAAAGGAAAGAUAGUGCAGCCAAGUCCAGGAGGUGGGUCUGAAACUCUAUUUUAAAUGAUGUUACUGAUAUGACAACUGUAACUUGAGUUGUGAAGACUUUGACUUGGGAGGAAUUGACUUAAAGUAUAUGAUUUACAGCUAGGGUUCACAGAAGAGCUUCUGUAAGGAGUCUGGUAGAGAUGGGAA